CUACUUGAGGUACAUACAGGCAUACAUACAAUUCAUGGAUUGUGUCCAUACCAUUUCUUGAUUUAGUCAGCCUUUUAGUUUGUGUGCUUUGGUGUCAAAAAAUUGAUAAUUGGCCUUAUUUUUAUUUGGGUACUUGAAUUUGAUAUAAAAAUUAUAUCUUUGUACCUAUUGUUGGUUUUCAGCUUAUUCAUUUGGCUGUUUUUGAUAUCAAAGUUUGAUUUUUGGCUUUUCUGGUAUCUGGGUACUUGAAUUUUGAUAAAAAGGUGAAAUCUUUGUGAUUGAUAUAGGGCUAUUUCGGGCUCAUUUAAACUGUAAAAAUGGGGGAUCAUUUAGUUGUUGNUAUAUCUCAUCAUUGAUGAUGUUUUUUUUUGUCAAACAUUGACGAAGACAUGAGAUGAUGAGAAGAUAAUACUUCAUUUUGUACGAUAUAAAAUUUAGAAAAAUAUAGCAGCACACAAGACAGGAAAUUGAGGGGAAAUAAAUAAAUGGGGAACGCGGAAUUGACGAAAGGGUGAACUCAUCUUUCUUCCCUUCCCUUCUUCUUCCACAAAGAGAGAGAGGGAGGAAAAUACCAACAACAAACCACCAAGACCCUUUCUCGGUGGGCCCCACCCCCUCACAAACGCGCUUCCCUAUUCUUUCCCAGGUACAUAUAUAUACAUACAAUAAUACUUACAUUAUUUUUCACACCCAUUUUCUUGGUUUUAUCAGCUUCUUCAUUUUGGUGAAUUUUUUGUAUCAAGUGUUUGGUAUUGGGAUUUUCUUGCAUUUGGGUACUUGUGUUUUGGUAAAAAGGUUGGAUCUUUGUGAUUAUCAUAAAGGUAUUUUGAGGUACAUUUCUUGGUUAAGUCAACUUUUUUUCAUUUGGGUAUUUGCAUUUUGGUAAAAAGAUUGUAACUUUGUGAUUAUAAUAAAGAUUUUUUAGGUACAUAGAUUGUGUUCACACAUAUUUGGUGCUUUUUAUAUCAAGAAUUUCAUAAUUGAAUUUGAAGUUUAGGUAAAAAGAUUGUAUCUUUGUGAUUAUCAUAGAUAUAUUUGAGGGUACAUAUUUUGUGUUCACACAUAUCUGUUGUUUUAGUCAGCUUCUUUAUUUUGGUGCUUAUCGUGCCAAGAAUUUGAAAUUUGAACUUUUUUCCCAUUUGGAUGUUCGAUAUUUGGUGAAAAUAUUGUAUCUUUGUGAUUAGCAUAGAGCUACUUGAGGUACAUACAGGCAUACAUACAAUUCAUGGAUUGUGUCCAUACCAUUUCUUGAUUUAGUCAGCCUUUUAGUUUGUGUGCUUUGGUGUCAAAAAAUUGAUAAUUGGCCUUAUUUUUAUUUGGGUACUUGAAUUUGAUAUAAAAAUUAUAUCUUUGUACCUAUUGUUGGUUUUCAGCUUAUUCAUUUGGCUGUUUUUGAUAUCAAAGUUUGAUUUUUGGCUUUUCUGGUAUCUGGGUACUUGAAUUUUGAUAAAAAGGUGAAAUCUUUGUGAUUGAUAUAGGGC
This 1481-nucleotide long non-coding RNA is filed under the name Daucus carota (carrot). Its description in RNAcentral is "long non-coding RNA (DCAR_LNC006530)". The record is from RNAcentral. Lineage: Eukaryota; Viridiplantae; Streptophyta; Magnoliopsida; Apiales; Apiaceae.